GGCCGACUGGCUCAGUUGGUUAGAGCGUCGUGCUAAUACUGAUGUGUAUAACGCGAAGGUCUUGGGUUCGAUCCCCACGUUGGUCA
Armillaria nabsnona is the source of this 86-nucleotide non-coding RNA. Lineage: Eukaryota; Fungi; Basidiomycota; Agaricomycetes; Agaricales; Physalacriaceae. The record is from the annotation of a GenBank genome assembly.